AACGAACGCUGGCGGCAGGCCUAACACAUGCAAGUCGAGCGAGGACUUCGGUCCUAGCGGCGGACGGGUGAGUAACGCGUGGGAACGUGCCCUUUGCUUCGGAAUAGCCCUGGGAAACUGGGAGUAAUACCGGAUGAGCCCUUUGGGGGAAAGAUUUAUCGGCGAAGGAUCGGCCCGCGUUGGAUUAGGUAGUUGGUGGGGUAAUGGCCUACCAAGCCGACGAUCCAUAGCUGGUUUGAGAGGAUGAUCAGCCACACUGGGACUGAGACACGGCCCAGACUCCUACGGGAGGCAGCAGUGGGGAAUCUUAGACAAUGGGGGAAACCCUGAUCUAGCCAUGCCGCGUGAGCGAUGAAGGCCUUAGGGUUGUAAAGCUCUUUCAGCUGGGAAGAUAAUGACGGUACCAGCAGAAGAAGCCCCGGCUAACUCCUG
Molecule: ribosomal RNA, 432 nt
Filed under: uncultured bacterium
Lineage: Bacteria
Description: partial 16S ribosomal RNA
Rfam family: Bacterial small subunit ribosomal RNA
Source: RNAcentral